AUACGGAGGGUGCAAGCGUUGUUCGGAAUUACAGGGCGUAAAGCGCGUGCAGGCGGUAAGGUAAGUCAGAUGUGAAAGCCCCGGGCUCAACCCGGGAAGUGCAUUUGAUACUGCCUUUCUUGAGUAUGGGAGAGGAGAGUGGAAUUCCCAGUGUAGAGGUGAAAUUCGUAGAUAUUGGGAGGAACACCCGUGGCGAAGGCGACUCUCUGGACCAAUACUGACGCUGAGACGCGAAAGCGUGGGGAGCGAACAGGAUUAGAUACCCCAGUAGUCC
Molecule: ribosomal RNA, 274 nt
Filed under: uncultured bacterium
Lineage: Bacteria
Description: partial 16S ribosomal RNA
Rfam family: Bacterial small subunit ribosomal RNA
Source: RNAcentral